RNAcentral lists this ribosomal RNA (889 nucleotides) under Anaerolineaceae bacterium enrichment culture clone L35B_158. RNAcentral's name for it is "bacterial SSU rRNA". It matches the Rfam family "Bacterial small subunit ribosomal RNA", at positions 8 to 916 of the family's 1533-position model. The record is from RNAcentral. Lineage: Bacteria; Bacillati; Chloroflexota; Anaerolineae; Anaerolineales; Anaerolineaceae.
AGAGUUUGAUCAUGGCUCAGGAUGAACGUUGGCGGUGUGCCUAAUACAUGCAAGUCGAACGGAGUUAAUAGCAAUAUUGACUUAGUGGCGAACGGGUGAGUAACGCGUUGGUGAUCUGCCUCGAAGUGUGGAAUAACGUUCCGAAAGGAACGCUAAUACCGCAUGUGCUCUCGAUUUUUAGAAAGUUGAGAGUAAAGGAUUUAUUCGCUUCGAGAGGAGCCUGCGUCCCAUCAGCUGGUUGGUAGGGUAACGGCCUACCAAGGCUAUGACGGGUAGGGGACCUGAGAGGGUGGCCCCCCACAAUGGAACUGAAACACGGUCCAUACACCUACGGGUGGCAGCAGUAGGGAAUAUUAGAAAUGGACGAAAGUCUGAUCUAGCAACACCGCGUGUGCGAAGAAGGCCUUCGGGUCGUAAAGCACUUUUUGGAAGGAAUAGGAAGGAAUGUACUUCCAGAAUAAGUCUCGGCUAACUACGUGCCAGCAGCCGCGGUAACACGUAGGAGGCGAACGUUAUCCGGAUUUACUGGGCGUAAAGCGCGUGUAGGUGGUACUGUAAGUAGGGCGUGAAAGCUCCCGGCUCAACUGGGAGAGGCCGUUCUAAACUACAGAACUAGAGGAUGGUAGAGGGAGGUGGAAUUCCAGGUGUAGCGGUGGAAUGCGCAGAUAUCUGGAGGAACACCGGUGGCGAAGGCGGCCUCCUGGACCAUUCCAGACACUCAGACGCGAAAGCUAGGGUAGCAAACGGGAUUAGAGACCCCGGUAGUCCUAGCCCUAAACGAUGUAGACUAGGCGUCGGAAGUUUAAUCACUUUCGGUGUCCAAGCUAACGCGAUAAGUCUACCGCCUGGGGACUACGGCCGCAAGGUUAAAACUCAAAUGAAUUGACGG